Molecule: ribosomal RNA, 253 nt
Filed under: uncultured bacterium
Lineage: Bacteria
Description: partial 16S ribosomal RNA
Rfam family: Bacterial small subunit ribosomal RNA
Source: RNAcentral
UACGUAGGGGGCAAGCGUUGUCCGGAAUUAUUGGGCGUAAAGCGCGCGUAGGCGGUUACUUAAGUCGGAUGUGAAAGCCCUCGGCUUAACUGAGGAAGUGCACCCGAAACUGAGUAGCUAGAGUACGAAAGAGGGUCGCGGAAUUCCCGGUGUAGAGGUGAAAUUCGUAGAUAUCGGGAGGAACACCGGUGGCGAAGGCGGCGACCUGGGUCGAGACUGACGCUGAGGCGCGAAAGCGUGGGGAGCAAACAGG